Molecule: unclassified non-coding RNA, 432 nt
Filed under: Hevea brasiliensis (rubber tree)
Lineage: Eukaryota; Viridiplantae; Streptophyta; Magnoliopsida; Malpighiales; Euphorbiaceae
Source: RNAcentral
UUUUGUUUUGGUGCUUUGGCUAAUUGCUUUUGCUUUUAAAAUGCUUUGAGAGAAGUGAUUUCUUUUAUUUUUCUUGAACAACAAAACGUGAGAGAGAGAUAAAGGAAAUCACUUUUUUCAAGGCAAAGGGCAAGAGCAAUUCAAAGCCUCCACCUUUGAACAAAAACAUCCACUUCUCAUCAUUUUCUCAUCUCCCGUUCUUUUGUUUUCCAUAAGGUUUUUGUUUCUUUUUCUGCUUCUGCUUCUGCUUCUUCUUUUUCUUUGUGGGAAAUUAUGGCUGAUAUUUUGAGCAAUACCAACCUAGUUUCUUCUUCUUAUUAUUCUUCUUCUCCAUCCUUUAAUGCUUACCAAAACCACCAUAAAUAUAGUUCUUGCAGGCUCAGUGGGUUCCCUCGGAAAUUGAAUCCUCAAGCUUUGAGAUUGCAAACGAGA